Molecule: ribosomal RNA, 289 nt
Filed under: uncultured Bacteroides sp.
Lineage: Bacteria; Pseudomonadati; Bacteroidota; Bacteroidia; Bacteroidales; Bacteroidaceae
Description: partial 16S ribosomal RNA
Rfam family: Bacterial small subunit ribosomal RNA
Source: RNAcentral
CAAGUCGAGGGGCAGCAUGAACUUAGCUUGCUAAGUUUGAUGGCGACCGGCGCACGGGUGAGUAACGCGUAUCCAACCUUCCGCUUACUCGGGGAUAGCCUUUCGAAAGAAAGAUUAAUACCCGAUGGUAUCUUAAGCGCACAUGCAAAUAAGAUUAAAGAUUUAUCGGUAAGCGAUGGGGAUGCGUUCCAUUAGGCAGUUGGCGGGGUAACGGCCCACCAAACCGACGAUGGAUAGGGGUUCUGAGAGGAAGGUCCCCACAUUGGAACUGAGACACGGUCCAAACUCC